This 4036-nucleotide long non-coding RNA is filed under the name Homo sapiens (human). RNAcentral describes it as "PCBP1 antisense RNA 1, transcript variant 23 (PCBP1-AS1)". The record is from RNAcentral. Lineage: Eukaryota; Metazoa; Chordata; Mammalia; Primates; Hominidae.
GUCCCCGGCGUCCGGGCGCCCUGCAUGGAUCCCCCACCCCAGCUCCUGCUCCCCGGCGGCGGCCGGUGGGCAGAAAGACCGAAACCCACUCACGGCCGCCUGCCGAAUCGCGGCUCUGCUGUUUGUGGGGCGUGCUAGAAACGUGGUCCUAAAAAGAAUGGCGUCCAUUUACAUAAUGCUUUGUUUGCGUUUCGCAAGUUUCUUUCGGUUAAAGCCACAGAAACCCCACCUCCUGCCCUUGUGUCGUUUCCACCGCGGCACCCUUUUCCGACAUUAGAAACAAUAGUGUACGCCUGUGGAGGCCUCGUUUGUUCAGGGGCUGCCGGCCAGGGCUUCAGGACGUUUCUGCGGCUUUCCCCGCGCGGCCUGGGCUCCCGCGGCUGCUUUUCGGGCCCAUGGGCGCAGCCACUGCGCCAGGCUCAAGGGGGGCGGCCCCGUCAGGGCCCGCCAUCUUGGAAGGCCUUUUUUGCCGGUUCUUCCCGCUGAGGAAGUGUCGCUCAAGACGCUGGCCUAUGAGUUGUGAUUUCUGCCUUUUCCCCUUCCUCCUUGGGCUAAGCCAGACCAGAAAGGGCCCCGUGCGCAACGUGCUUCACAAUCUCUCAGGGAAAGCGGCUAACGUGGCGCUACUCCGCCUCCCCUGUUCCUUACCCUUGGGGCGGCCGCCAUGUUUCCUGAACACAAAAUGGCGACACGUGGUUAGCAUUCGUCGCCAACGAGAAAUUGGGGUCGGCCCGAAAGCUCUAGAAUGCACCCCUCUUCCUCCCCGGGGCCUUCCACCUCCGCGAGUUUUAUGACUUAAAAAAGCCCACAGGCUGGUCUGAAGGUCGGAGGCCUAAUUUUAACGCGUUUUCCUCCCUUUAAUUUGAAACGGGAACGCGAAUGACUGUAAAAUGUGGGCACAAUAUUUAAUCUCUCGCCUUUUUAAAGCUUAAUAGUGGAUAAUAGGGGGGCAGUAUCAAGGGAUAAUUUGGGUCCCCACAGUACCAAAGCAUUUAGAAACCUCUGUUUAAUUUAAGGAAUGAGAUAAGUUACUGCUUUUCUAGACUUCCUAGCAUGGGCUGUUGUGCUGGAGAGAACGAGAGCUACGAAGAGACUACAGUGCCUCUGACUUUUUCAUAGGACAGUUGGCCGGUGAAUCUUAUUAAUAGUUUACCACAAUUAAGUGUUCAUUUUUAGUCUAGAAGGGACAGGCGUUUAUUGUGCAUUGGCCAGUGCCAGCACAUCCGAUGCAAGGCAGUUCACCGUAUUCUAUCUUUAAUUUUUACCAUGGUCCUCUGAGGUAGGUGUUCUUAUCUCUCUCUCUCUCUCUCUCUUUUAAACAGAGGAAGACAAACAUAAAGAUGAAGUGCUUAAUUCAAGGUCACACAAUGUCGGGGAUGGACCUCCAGAUUUCCUUACUGACCUGCAUUAUCUUGUGGAUACCUGAGUGAAUUCCACACCACCCAUUUUAUAGAUGAAACCACUGAGACAUGGAGCAAUUGACUGAGUAGUCACUGCCCCACCCCUGCCUGGAGCCUCACACAUGACUCGCCUCCUCUCAGUGACCACAGGUUGGUUGAGGGGUUUAACAAGGCUAAGAAGGUGAGACGUGGUCUUGUAACACAGUGGUUAAGAAUGUGACUUUGGAGCCAGCCUGCUAGGGGCUGAAUUCUGACUCAGCCAUUUACUAACUGUGUGACCUUAGUUCCCUGAGCACAUGCUGUUGAGUAAUCCUGCCUGGACCAGUACUUCCCUCACCCUAGACUUCACCUUCAGUUCCCCUUUAUACCACCUGCUGAAGCUGCCAGCCAGCCUUUUCGACCACCCUCCCUCCCCCAGGGGUGUUUGGCUUCUCAGACCCCAGCCUGAGCUAGUGCCCUUGGCUUCCUAGGGUCUUGCCAGGAAAGCAAAGGAGAACAUGCAUACCGCCAAAGAGUACCUAAUAAUAAGAACUCCCAUCCUGAAUUGUGAUUUAUAGUCAGCAUAGCACAUGUGUCAGGGAGGAGGACCUGGUUGAUAGAAGAAUUUAUCUCGUAGUCUUAACAUCCACUGUAAUUCCAAACUUUGAGGACGAUAGAGAUCAGUGGGCUUUGACUGCCCAGCAUGCAGUCUCCAUUCUUAGGUGGGUUCCCAAGCCUGUAAAAUGUAAGCCUUAUGCUGCUGAGGGCCAUCUUGCCACCCUGAGGGAAACGCUGCCUGAGAAUGAAACAAGCAUAAGUAAAAGCUGAGCUGUGAGAUGGAGCAAGAUGAAGGCCACAUGACAUCUUUGGAGCACCUGGAUCUAACUGUGCCUUAAGCUAGUCUAACCCUGAACAUUUCAUCAUUUCAUUGACAUGAGCCCAGGUUUUCUUUUUUUUUGGAUGGAGUCUUGCUCUGUCGCCCAGGCUGGAGUGCAGUAGCUCAAUCUCGGCUCACUGCAAGCUCCACCUCCCGGGUUCACGCCAUUCUCCUGCCUUAGCCUCCCAAGUAGCUGGGACAACAGGCGCCCACCACCACUCCCAGCUAAUUUUUUGUAUUUUUAGUAGAGACGGGGUUUUACCAUGUUAGCCGGGAUGGUCUUGAUCUCCUGACCUCAUGAUCCGCCCGCCUCGGCCUCCCAAAGUGCUGGGAUUACAGGUGUGAGCCACUGCACCCAGCCCUCAGGUUUUCCCUUUUUUUACCCCUCCUUUUGAAAAUUUGAUGUGGAAUUUUGCCACCUGCAGCCAGAAGAGUUUUAACUAAUCAGUGCCAUAAAUUUUAUAUAGUUCUCCUUGCAAAAUGUGGAUCAGCCUUUCUCAGCAAAUCCUUUGUCAUAAAGUGCUGAAUUGUAAGUUUGUCAUGAGAAUCACAUGAGAUCAUGCAUGUGAAGAACCUGGCAUUAUCCUCCUCAUAGAAAAAAACCAGUAAAUAUUAACUACAGGAAGCAAGGAAGGAGUGGGGUGAGGGGAAGAAGAAGGGGUACUGAUUUAAAAGAACCCUGGAGUCCUAAGGAUAAUCUAGGAACCCUCAGACCCAAUCCGAUACCCCUAUUCUAAAUGCUCCUAGUGCCCUGUACCUUCCCCUCAUAAGCCUUCAUUAUCAUUGUAAUGAUAUGUUUAUGUAAUAUUUUGAUUAAUGUCUCUCCUUCACUGACCUAGCAGUUCUAGCAGGGCAGUGAUUUUGCUGUGUUGCAUCCCCAGCACCUAGUCUGGUAUGUGGCAUUCAGCAUAUGUUUAUUGAAUGAAUGGCCAUGUGGUUAUUCAGAUCCUCCUUGAUUAUUGGGGUUAGGAUUGUGGCAGAAGUGGCAAAAUCAGGGAGAGUAGUCCCUGUCCCCUCUGUAUCUUAUACACUGCCCACACUCCCAACACACAUACACAUACAGAGAAUUUUGUCUCAAUUAGAUAAUUAACUUCUGCUUGGUUGUAAACCAAACCACUGGUUCUUAAACUUUCAUUGGAUCAUUUUAUUGAAGAAUUAAAUAGUGUGGUUCUGGCCUAAUGUCUGGAAAGCCUUGCAGAGGAGUGGAUUAGGUCUUUGUGAUAAACAGGCAGCCUUCCCUGCUCCUGUGUCUUUAUAAAAUCUAUUUAACUGGAGUAGUCCACCCUCCCUCAGGCUCUUACAGGAAUAUGUUGGAGGCUGUAGGAAGGUGGGAAACCGAGAGGGAAAGGACUGGGCCGCUGGAGACUUCACUCAUUCCCUAGCAAGAAACAAAAGCAGUAAAAGGUGGCCCGAGGACAACCUGAAGCUCACUCCUUCAGCACUUUUGGCUGGAGGUCACUUGUUGGAGCCCCACUCAGAGCUCAGCACACCACCCCACCAGCAGCCUCCUCCUCCCAGCUGAGGCUGCAUUUCAUCCCUUCCCCCAGCCUGCUUUCCCUGAGAUAGGGGAGUGUUUCCCAGGGCCCAUGUGACUUCCACUGGCAAGUGACGAUUACCAAUGGUUUACUAGUCAGUGAAACUACCAAAGGCUUUUGUGCUGUAGUAAUCCUUUUCCUGUUUAAAACUCUGGGGAUUUUCUAAUGUUGCCAAUAGUUUUUCAAGUCAGCAAUUACUGUGUGGAUUAUGUAAUGGCUCGGUAUUAAAAAUAGAAAAGACUGGA